AGUGAACGCUGGCGGUAGGCCUAACACAUGCAAGUCGAACGGCAGCACAGUAAGAGCUUGCUCUUACGGGUGGCGAGUGGCGGACGGGUGAGGAAUACAUCGGAAUCUACUUUUUCGUGGGGGAUAACGUAGGGAAACUUACGCUAAUACCGCAUACGACCUACGGGUGAAAGCAGGGGAUCUUCGGACCUUGCGCGAUUGAAUGAGCCGAUGUCGGGUUAGCUAGUUGGCGGGGUAAAGGCCCACCAAGGCGAGGAGACGUAGCUGGUCUGAGAUGAUGAUGAGCAAGACUAGAACUGGGACGCGGUACAGACUCGUACGGGAGGCAGCAGUGGGGAAGAGAGGACAAUGGGCGGAAGGCUGGUCCAGCCAUACCGCGUGGGUGAAGAAGGCAUUCGGGUUGUAAAGUCCUUUUGUGGGGAAAGAAAAGCAGCAGGUUAAUACCCCGCUGUGCUGACGGUACCCAAAGAGUAAGCACCGGCUAACUUCGUG
Molecule: ribosomal RNA, 492 nt
Filed under: uncultured bacterium
Lineage: Bacteria
Description: partial 16S ribosomal RNA
Rfam family: Bacterial small subunit ribosomal RNA
Source: RNAcentral